UACGAGAGCCUCAAGCGUUACCCGGAAUCACUGGGCGUAAAGGGUGUGUAGGCGGUUAUGUUAGUCUGCUGUUAAAGCCUUGGGCUCAACCCAAGAUCUGCAGUGGAAACGGCAUAACUAGAGGAUGUGAGAGGUUAAGGGAACUCAUGGUGUAGGGGUGAAAUCCGUUGAUAUCAUGGGGAACACCAAAAGCGAAGGCACUUAACUGGCACAUUCCUGACGCUGAGACACGAAAGCCAGGGUAGCGAAUGGG
RNAcentral lists this unclassified non-coding RNA (253 nucleotides) under uncultured Parcubacteria group bacterium. Its description in RNAcentral is "contains 16S-23S intergenic spacer region". It matches the Rfam family "Bacterial small subunit ribosomal RNA", at positions 524 to 776 of the family's 1533-position model. The record is from RNAcentral.